RNAcentral lists this long non-coding RNA (406 nucleotides) under Mustela putorius furo (domestic ferret). RNAcentral's name for it is "lncRNA (ENSMPUG00000028861.1)". The record is from RNAcentral. Lineage: Eukaryota; Metazoa; Chordata; Mammalia; Carnivora; Mustelidae.
GGGACACACGUGGGUUAUUUCCUGCUCUGUCUUCAGUCUCUAGCCCAGUCUCUGACAUGUGCUAGAUAUGAAUUAUCUGCCUAAAGAAGGAAAAGACAGUUGCCAUGUCGUAACCCUGCAAAGAGCUGGAGAAGCCAGCUGCCAAGUCAUGAAGACCUUCAAGCAACCUAUGGAGAGGCCCAUAAAGGAGGAAACUGAAGUCCCCAGUAACAGCUAAUGAGGACCUGAGGCCCACCAACUGCCCCAUGAAUCCAGAACCAAAGGCUGUGUGUGGGUUUCUGGUCUCUGAAGUCUCUUACAAAAAUAAAUACACUGGAAAAUAAAGAGAAAAGUUCCAUCACAUAGACACAAGAAGCUAGACCCUUCUUUCCGGGUGAUAAACGGGGCAGCAAACCCAGUGAAAUAG